CUGUUCUAUAUUUGAACUCUGAAGCUAAAUAGGGUGAGGCCUGGUUUGUACUGGGAUGGGAGACAGCAUGAGAGUACCAGGU
This 82-nucleotide ribosomal RNA is filed under the name Periophthalmus magnuspinnatus. Lineage: Eukaryota; Metazoa; Chordata; Actinopteri; Gobiiformes; Gobiidae. The record is from RNAcentral.